UAUGUAGUCUGCUGCAUGCA
This 20-nucleotide ribosomal RNA is filed under the name Trichomonas sp. 1 AP-2012. Its description in RNAcentral is "partial 28S ribosomal RNA". Lineage: Eukaryota; Parabasalia; Trichomonadida; Trichomonadidae. The record is from RNAcentral.